AAAGGUUUUCGGAUCGUAAAACUCUGUUGUAAGGGAAGAACAAGUACAGUAGUAACUGGCUGUACCUUGACGGUACCUUAUUAAAAAGCCACGGCUAACUACGUGCCAGCAGCCGCGGUAAUACGUAGGUGGCAAGCGUUGUCCGGAAUUAUUGGGCGUAAAGCGCGCGCAGGCGGUCCUUUAAGUCUGAUGUGAAAGCCCACGGCUCAACCGUGGAGGGUCAUUGGAAACUGGGGGACUUGAGUGCAGAAGAGGAAAGUGGAAUUCCAAGUGUAGCGGUGAAAUGCGUAGAGAUUUGGAGGAACACCAGUGGCGAAGGCGACUUUCUGGUCUGUAACUGACGCUGAGGCGCGAAAGCGUGGGGAGCAAACAGGAUUAGAUACCCU
This 386-nucleotide ribosomal RNA is filed under the name uncultured Lysinibacillus sp. Its description in RNAcentral is "bacterial SSU rRNA". It matches the Rfam family "Bacterial small subunit ribosomal RNA", at positions 410 to 788 of the family's 1533-position model. The record is from RNAcentral. Lineage: Bacteria; Bacillati; Bacillota; Bacilli; Caryophanales; Bacillaceae.